AACGAACGCUGGCGGCAUGCCUAACACAUGCAAGUCGAACGAGACCUUCGGGUCUAGUGGCGCACGGGUGCGUAACGCGUGGGAACCUGCCCUUAGGUUCGGAAUAACUCCCCGAAAGGGGUGCUAAUACCGGAUGAUGUCUUCCGACCAAAGAUUUAUCGCCUUUGGAUGGGCCCUCGUUGGUUUAGCCAGUUGGUAGGGUAAAAGCCUACCAAGGCGACGAUCCAUAGCUGGUCUGAGAGGAUGAUCAGCCACACUGGGACUGAGACACGGCCCAGACUCCUACGGGAGGCAGCAGUGGGGAAUAUUGGACAAUGGGCGAAAGCCUGAUCCAGCAAUGCCGCGUGAGUGAUGAAGGCCUUAGGGUUGUAAAGCUCUUUUACCCGGGAUGAUAAUGACAGUACCGGGAGAAUAAGCUCCGGCUAACUCCGUG
RNAcentral lists this ribosomal RNA (433 nucleotides) under uncultured bacterium. RNAcentral describes it as "partial 16S ribosomal RNA". It matches the Rfam family "Bacterial small subunit ribosomal RNA", at positions 29 to 507 of the family's 1533-position model. The record is from RNAcentral.